AUUUUUGCAACUUUGAAAAUUGGAACUAAACUUCAAAAGAAGACUUUGUUUCCGUGUAGAUUAUAUUUUAAAACCAGCUUGGAUUUUUUUUCCUCCUUAGGCAUAGCAGUUAACUUCAAGAUCAGAUCAUGAAAGGUCAUCUUGUGCUGAAACCUCUGUACAGGACAAGCACUGAGCUGGCAUUUUUGUAAUGGCUGAUGUAUUUUUCAGUCAUCUUCUGCCAGGCAUGAGUUAAAACUCUUCUUCCAGACAACCUUCCAACUAGGGAAUAGAUCCUUUUGGAAGGCCAAGUGGCCUCAGAGAGCACUUUGGAGUGGGACACAGUGAAUUGGGACAAGUGCAUCACGCCCUGUUACAGUCAACGCAGCAGCUAAGAACACUAGUUUUCCAUCAGAAAGAGAAGAUAUUCAUAUGUUCAGAACUGUGAAGGCCUAAGUCUAGAGAUGUGAAUGUACAUUCGAUGCUUGGAUAGCAGGAAACGGAAGACUUACUUAUUGCCUCCUUUGACGGAGAGAUUUCUAUGCCCCAUAAAUCAGGAAGGAGAGUUUCAAGGGCUAGCUCCCAUCGCUAGG
Molecule: long non-coding RNA, 572 nt
Filed under: Gallus gallus (chicken)
Lineage: Eukaryota; Metazoa; Chordata; Aves; Galliformes; Phasianidae
Source: RNAcentral